Molecule: ribosomal RNA, 460 nt
Filed under: uncultured bacterium
Lineage: Bacteria
Description: partial 16S ribosomal RNA
Rfam family: Bacterial small subunit ribosomal RNA
Source: RNAcentral
CCUACGGGGGGCAGCAGUGAGGAAUAUUGGUCAAUGGACGGAAGUCUGAACCAGCCAUGCCGCGUGCAGGAAGACGGCUCUAUGAGUUGUAAACUGCUUUUGUACAAGAGUAAAUCUGAAUACGUGUAUUCUACUGAAAGUACUGUACGAAUAAGGAUCGGCUGACGCCGUGCCAGCAGCCGCGGUAAUACGGAGGAUCCAAGCGUUAUCCGGAUUUAGUGGGGUUAAAGGGUGCGUAGGCGGAUUGAUAAGUUAGAGGUGAAAUGUCCGAGCUUAACUCGGGAACUGCCUCUAAUACUGUUGAUCUAGAGAGUAGAUGAGGUAGGCGGAAUGUAUGGUGUAGCGGUAAAAUGCUUAGAGAUCAAACAGAACACCGAUUGCGAAGGCAGCUUACCAAUCUAUAUCUGACGUUGAGGCACGAAAGCGUGGGGAGCAAACAGGAUUAGAUACCCUAGUAGUC